AGUUGGGGUGGUAAAAGUAACGCCGGGCUUACUCGGCCAGGAGCAUUUUUCUCGUUCCAGCUGUUCUCCCCGAGGGUUUUCCAGGAAAGCAUCGGCAUCCCACAACAGCCAAGAUAAAUCUGCUCCAUGGGGUAAAUCUUCUCCCCGAGGUAAAUCCCAUCUGCCCCACGGGGUAAAUCAUCCCAUCAAACCCCCUGAGAUGCAGUGGUUUCUGGAUGGACACCUUCACCUGCCUCUCACCAUGCCCGGACAGCCCAUGUCACCGCAUCCUACCCCAUCCAGAGGUGCAGGAGGAUACCGUCCCUGGGGAGCCUGGGGACAUCAAGCUGGGAGGAGGGAGGAAAGUUCCCAGGGGCUGGUGAUCCAGUUGGACCAGGUGGUGCUUUUUGGAAGCUCCACGUGCUGUUUUUCUCUGUGGAAAUGCCCAUGGACAAGGAGCAUUUGGCAGGUGCCUGCUGCACCCCAAGCUCCUGUUCUUCCAUUGGGUAGAGUCUGAAGCCAGUGUGUUAGGGCAAAGCUUUGUAUCACUCUGUGCUCCGAGACCCUUGUGUCUUCUCCCUUCUCCUCUUCCCAUGAUGUACCCCUGGACGCUGGAGCACCCUGGGGACACCCCAAUGCCAGGGGGCAGGAUCCACAUCAUGCCUGGCUAAGCCCACAGCAGCAAAACCAGAGCCCAGCAUAGGGAAUAAAGAUGAUGGUGCUACAGGUGGGGGUGAAGUCAAUUUAACUUCAUCCUGGGCAGGCCAACACCUUCCCCAGGGAGCAUGAUCCAGCUCCACAGCUGAGCCAGCCCGGGGUCACAUCUGUUCUGCUCCCGGGCCAAAGGGAAACCACAGCAUUACCCAAGGAGAGGGAAAAGCAUUUUUGCUCCCAACACCUCUUCCUGUAGUGUUGACACAAGAAGAUCGGGCCAGGCAGGGGCUGCUCUCUCAAUACUACCUGGGGCAGCAAAAGCAGUCCAAAAACUCCUCUACCCAUAUGUGGUAUAUCCUGGGGGAGCAACAUCACCCCUUCCAGCCCAAUAGAAGCUCAAAUCCAGUAUCAUAGCACCUAUCAGCCUAUUUUCACAUGGCUAAAAGUGGAAAAAAGCGUAUUUUUCCCUCCUUCCCAGGGCUCCAGCUACACUUCUAGAUGGUCCCCGGGGCUGCAGCACCAUCUUCACUCUUUCAGUAUCAGGUAAGCACAACGGCACACAAACUAGCUGGCAGCCACCUCGGCCAGGAACGAGCAGCCCAGGGUUAAUUCCUCCCAUACCUGAGCUGACAUUUCAAUGCUAUUACACAAUUAUGGAGAUUCCUACUGUAACCCUAGAAGUUCCCAUCAAAGUUUGGUAGGCUCCCACCCCCCAGGGGGUUUUCCCACCCAGAGGUACACCCCAGCUCCUUCCAUCCCAGCGAUGAAGGAGAAAAACCAAUCA
Long non-coding RNA from Melospiza melodia melodia, 1417 nucleotides. RefSeq lists it as uncharacterized. The transcript is spliced from 3 exons. The record is from RefSeq and is a predicted model, not a curated record. Lineage: Eukaryota; Metazoa; Chordata; Aves; Passeriformes; Passerellidae.